GUAAUGGGUCACACACUCAUGCUUUGAUGCUUCUGUAUUCGUGUAGUCCAGCUGUGUGCCACUUCACCUCAUCAUGAAUGACAAGCUUGCCAUGCAGAUGCUGUUAUAUAUACUGUAUGCAUUUCUUAUGAAGCGAGGUUCCUUGUUCUCCGAAUGCAGAUGCAAUUAGAGACGUCAGUUCCACACAACCUCCAUCACAUUUGUAUGCCUCUGUGGCCUUUUAAGGCUGUGGCAGUACUCGGUGCAAAGGCUUGUUUGGAGGAAAACGGAUCAUGGCUGAACAUUUGGCCACACAGAAAAGGUUAAUUUGCAUGUACUGAUAAACAACCUUAAUCUUAUUGUCCUAUUAAUGACUGUGAUGUAAAGCACUCCUAGGGCUGUCUCAAUGCUCAGAUGUGUACUCUGUGUCACCCUAACUCAAUUUGCAUUGUAAAUGUUCUGUGGCUUGACAUGUAAGUGACAUCAGUGAUGGUUUCCUUUUCUAACAAUAUCUCUUCAGAUGAGAGAUUGAAAGGCACGAUUCAUUCACCUUAUGUGUGCCAGAGCUGCACAAAAAUAUAUUCUAGUAUGCCAUCUUACAUUAACUGACUUUGUAAACAGCACUGGCAUUAUCUUAAAUAGCUCCUUAUUUACACAUCCUGCUCAUACAGAUGAACUUUGCGUUCAUUGUAGUCCUAUGGCCGCCUGCUGAACUGAAGUCCACUCAUUCACUCGUUUGUUUUGGUUUCUACCAACUCAUGAAGGACAUAUGUGGCUCCUUAGCUUCCAAAUGUCCCUCUGUGUUCACCAGCUAUUUACACAUUUUUUCUGCAGGCCCUGAAAACCAAAACAAUAACUCCGAAAUUCUGACAACUGCAGCCAGGUGUAUACAGCACGUUAGAAGCGCCAUCUUGUUAAUCAAGAAUGGGAACUUCAGCUAGCCGCCUUUGGUUUGCCUCAAGUUUAAAUAACGGCAAAAUAAAGUACAUUGCUCGAGUUUGUCACAGGACAACGCCACGAAGAAUGGAAAAAAGUUCAAAUGUGGCCACUCUUCUCAAAGCUGCUCCUUUACUUUACCGCCCGAGAGUUAGUAGAGGAUGCGAAUUUAACGUUAGCCCCAAACCAGCUAUGCGUGUUAGCAGCUAACGGACUUUUCAACAGAGGUGAACUUGAUGAAGUUGCCUAACGUACUGAACAUAAAGUUUAUCCUCAUAUUUCCCUAGAUGAAUUGUAUCGUAACGUUACUGACUUGGACUAGAGUGUCAGGCAACAUUCCUGCUGCCCUAAGCCUCUGAUUGGUGAAGGAUGUUGGGGACACAACCGAGAAUUUGGCACACUGUUCAGAGAGGUGCCAGUUGGUGUCGUCUGUGCCGCUUACUGCAGGCGAUACCUGACCUCUCAGCCCACUGCCUGAACCCUGGAUGGCCCCUCUGUCUCAGCAGUUGUAAGGGUGCUUCAAGUCCUAACCCAUGGCGCUCUGGUGUUUGCGUGGUGGAUUAAAGAACAUGAUGAUGCUGAUUUCCCGAUUUAAAAUUGGGAUUAUGCAACGCUGUGGUGAAACACCCACAGUCAAGUGUGUCUGUUAAAGAAGAGAUGUGUGUUUACACAUGUAAAUGUAUUUAAAGUUAGAAUGUUCCUUUUUAGGACUGUAUUAAAAUCCAUAAAAAUCUCAUAAAA
This is a long non-coding RNA of Micropterus salmoides (largemouth bass), 1656 nucleotides long. RefSeq lists it as uncharacterized. The record is from RefSeq and is a predicted model, not a curated record. The transcript has 3 exons. Lineage: Eukaryota; Metazoa; Chordata; Actinopteri; Centrarchiformes; Centrarchidae.